RNAcentral lists this long non-coding RNA (649 nucleotides) under Pongo abelii (Sumatran orangutan). RNAcentral describes it as "lincRNA". Lineage: Eukaryota; Metazoa; Chordata; Mammalia; Primates; Hominidae. The record is from RNAcentral.
AACACAGAGAGUCAGGGCCAGCCAAAUGGAAAUUGUCUGCUCAUAGGAGAAGCCCUGGGGCCAUACUCUGAAAGAGGUAGCUUGGCGACAGACAAAUUUUCUAAGAGAGACAGUAUGGGGAGAAGAGAAGGCAAAGGUCCAAGACUCAAAAAAUGAAUGAAUGUUAAAACAUCAGAAGAGCAAGAUAAACGAGUUAAGAAGAUGGCACAGGAGCCGCAGAGAGGUGGAAGAUGGCUUGGAAGAGUGAAAACAGUUUUGCUGAGGACAGGUAAGAAGAGAUGAGGUGGGGAUGGUCCAUGAAGAUGAAUGACUGCUUCCCAAGACACUGUGGGGAGAAGGCUAUGGAAAGAUGGCAGCAGCAGACUGUGGAGAGAAGUCAAUUCACUGUGAGUGGUCAGACAAUACCUGAACCAACAAGACACAUGGGACAACCUCUUGGGAACAGAAAGUUCAGAAAAGGGCUAAGAAAUAGGAUGGAGAUAGGGAUACUCAACGAUCUAGUCAUAGGAUCAAAAUGGGAAUGCAAUUAGGAAGUAGAAGGCCUGAGAUAGACAGCAGCCGCUGGGAUUGGAAGCAAUUUUAGGAUGAUUUCCCAAAGGGUAGAGAUGUUCCAACAAUAGCUUGAUGAUAAAUUUUGUAUUUUAUCAGA